GAUGAACGCUGGCGGCGUGCCUAAUACAUGCAAGUCGAGCGAACGGAGGAGAAGCUUGUUUCUCUGAUGUUAGCGGCGCACGGGAGAGUAACACGUGGAUAACCUCCCUAUAAGACUGGGAUAACUUCGGGAAACUGGAGCUAAUACCGGAUGAUAUUUUGAACCGUAUGGUUCAAUUGUGAAAGACGGUCUUGCUGUCACUGAUAGAUGGUUCCGGGCUGCAUCGGGUUGUUGGGUAGGUAACGCUUAACAACGGAAAUGGUGCAUAGCCGACCUGAGAGGGGAUUCGGCCACACUGGAACUGGAACACGGUCCAGACUCCGACGGAGGGCAGCAGUAGGGAACCUCCGGAAGAGGGCGAAGGCCUGACGGAGCAACGCCGGGUGGGUGAUGAGGGUCUUCGGAUGGUAAGACUCUGUUAUUAGGGAAGAACAUAUGUGUAAGUAACUGUGCACAUCUUGACGGUACCUGAUCAGAAAGCCACGGCUAACUACGUG
Molecule: ribosomal RNA, 497 nt
Filed under: uncultured bacterium
Lineage: Bacteria
Description: partial 16S ribosomal RNA
Rfam family: Bacterial small subunit ribosomal RNA
Source: RNAcentral